GCCUACCAUCCCACUCUUCAUAAAUGUAGAGCCAGAAAUCUGAAACCCAGGUUUUCUGAAUCGUCCUUCAGGGUCUUCUGCAUCAAACCAAAUUAUUUCUCAGGUUUUCAAGCCUUAAGAAAAGAAGGUCUGGGGUUUGCAGUCCAGGACUGAUGUGACAGCUCUGCUUCUUAAAGUCCUCAGGAAUCUAGGGUUCCUUCCUACCCAAAUCCUCACAAUCUCUAGAGUGUGGACCUCUAUCUCAGGAUCUGGCCUGAGGCACUUGCAUUCUAGGCAGCAAGAUAGAAGGAAUCAGUUUCUUCCAGUGGAUUCCAUGGAUUGCCACUCACUUCGCAUCAGAUAGGACCUAGUCAAGCCACAGCUGGCUGUUAGGAUGUCUGGGAAAUAAAACCUUUAUUUAUUCUGAGAAGUCCUUUUCCAGCUAAAAUUCCCAUUACUGCGAUAGAAGAAGAGAACAGCUCCUGGGAAACAUACAACAGUUUAUGCACGAACCUGAAUGGUAGGGAUCCAGAGAGGAAAGAGUUGGAACAUGAAGAAGAUAGAAGAGUUCGGUGUGUUGUGUCUUUCAGAAAUUGUUUUAGGAUCUAGCUCUAAUUCUCCAGAUAGGAGACCAGUAGGAUGUGUCUGCAGAUUUUUCAAUCCCCG
Molecule: long non-coding RNA, 645 nt
Filed under: Mustela putorius furo (domestic ferret)
Lineage: Eukaryota; Metazoa; Chordata; Mammalia; Carnivora; Mustelidae
Description: lncRNA (ENSMPUG00000030861.1)
Source: RNAcentral